UAGAGCCUAGGUUUAGGUCCCCUCCGGACGCCGCAACUCGUUCUCACGAUCAAUUUUUUUUCGGUCUCCACCUCCCUUCGAUCGAACAGAUCGAUUCUUGUCUCAUUGCUGGCGUGCUUGUUCCAGUCCGCCUCCGAUCGGCGGCAACACGUCCACGGAUGGGUCGGGCCUGGUCCGCGGAUGCCCGAUGGAAGAUCUCCCAGGCUGGGCCUGUUCAAGCCGACGCUUGUGCGUGCUGCUGCUGCAGCUCCCUGGGUGGCCUCCAGAUCGAAGCUCGACAGCAAGAAUUGACUCAAAUCUUCAGAUCGAUGACCAGCGACUGCUGCCUCCCCGUAUUGCGCACGCUGCUCUCCACCGCCACUAGCUCUGCUGCUGCUCGCUUGUGGUGCAUCUCUGCUCUUCUGAUGCCGCUCCACGCGUCUCUCUGCACACCGCUCGCUUGAUUUGGGCUCCGUGACUCUUCCAGCCAGCUCUCUGUACCUACUUGCAUGCUUCUGCUUUGCCGCUUCUCUUCGCUAGCUUGUUAGCUUGUGUGCUGCAUCUCGUGCUCCCCAUGGUCGUUUGGUACUGCUGGCGUGCUACUACCUCUCUACUCGCUUGCUACUUCGCUGCUACUCUGCUGUUUUGGCCUCCCUGCCAUGAUUUUCUUCCGCUGCUAUCGCAUCUACUCUAGUAUGUGUUCCCAACUUCCUAAUUUUCUAUAAUUUUUGCUGCAUCCACCAAAUCCGUUGAUAUUUUUGUAUUUUCUCAUCUCAUGUGAGUCCACCAAACUUUUAUCCGUCAGCCUUUUUCUGGUCAUUGUCCUCUCAAUAGGAUUUCUGUGGCCUCUCUUUGCAUUGUUGAUCUAAGCCUAUUCUCUUGCCUCCAAGCUUCUUCGCCGCCGGUUUUCAUGGGCCAUGAUUCUUUAAGCAAUGCUUAUUCUCUUGACGUGCCAUCUUCUUUUGACAACCCAUCUUCUAUUGAUACUUCCAUUGUAUCUUCUAUCGAUGCGAUGUCUUCCUCUGAUGUGCCAUCUCUUCGUUAUCCCCUUUGGCGACUCGACAGGUUUUGAAGACUCUUCAUGCUACGACGACACUCUCAAGACGCGGAUUUGGAUUAUCAUUUAUCUCUACUCCUAAUGUCUCAGUUGGUAGUCUCCGCGGUUAAUUUUCGUCCCACCUACCAUGAUUUUUUUCGUCCCUCCUCCACAUUCGCUGGUUUUUUUCGUAGAUUUUUUUGUCCCCUCCCCCACUUCAUCGGUUUAUUUUCGCGUCAUCCUCUCACACAAAGAAAGAAAUCUGAAUAGAUCAGAACUUUCCAUACUGGCACAAGUUAUUUAGUAAUGUAGAAUCAACCACGAACAAUCUCUAAAGAUCAAAUCUCAAUUAAUUAACCAUACCUUAAAUCACUCACUCACAUUAGUUAGAAAACAAAUAAUUGAUUUUAAGAAAAAUCGCUCAAUCACAUUAAUUAGGAAAUCUCUACUCCUAAUGGAGCAGUUGGUAGUCUCCGUUCCGGGUUUUUUUUCGUCCCACAUUCGUCGGGUUUUUUUCGUCCUCCUCCACCUCCCAGGUAGCGAUGCCGUUGCACCUAACACAUGCAAAAAAACCGGACCAAGACCACAUAGCGAGGCCCCUCGAACAAAAAAAAAGCGAACGAAAAAUGUAGCGAUGUCCCUCGGACAAAAAAAACGGAUGAACGGGGAGCGAGCCCCCCUCGCAUCCCCACCCACCCGUGCCCCUUCCACCUGGGCUAGGGUUCCAUACGCCGCCGCCUCCGGGCAGACCACAUACGCCGACGUCGAGGUCCGAGAGGAGAGGGCCGCCGGACCGUCUUCCUCCUCCACAGACCUCCGAGGCGCCCUACUCGUGGGAAGACGCCGCCGCCGCCUUGCGAGACCCCAAGGCAGGGCAGGGCGCGGUCGCGUUGCGGGCAGCGAGGAGCGGCGCGCCGGCGCCGGCGCAUGUGUAGCCAGUUAGCGAGAGAGGAAGGGAGUGGCGACGAUAUCUUCAUGCGAGGACAAGUACUCUGCCGCCGCCGGGCCGCGGCGACCACGAACGUGGAGCUGCUGAAGCGGUUUUGGCCAUUGGUCGUGUGGUCGUUCUUCAUAAUACUGAGAAGGCCGCGCCGGAGAUCCUCCACUUCAAACCGGACCUCGUCUCCCGUACUGAGGAGACGUUCGAUGACUUCACGGAUAACGGCAUAGACGAUCUGGUGGUCUCGCUGUACCAGAUGGAGCUCGACCGCACGCUCUUCCUGCUCUGCUCCUACCUACGCCUCCGCCUGUAAAAGAUUGAGAAGUACAUGGCGCACAUCUUCAAUUCUGAUGAUCUCUUGAGCUGGUUGAUGCAGCAAGAGCAGUGAUGCGCCAAGAGUUGGAGGCUGCAAGGAGAUCAUGGAGAACCAUCUCGAGCAGCCGGUGAUGUCGACGCUUCCCUACGGUUAUGAUUCGUAACGAGGCAAUCCUCAUCGAGCACGGAGGAUGACGUGGGUAUUCCACUUGAUCUUGAAAUUAACAUCACUUCUUUGUCACGGGCGUUGCCUCCACCAUGCGCUCGGCCUACCUCCUGCGCCACCUGUCGGGCUCGUCCUCCCGCUGUACCUCUCCUCGACCAUCUGGCCCGCCUCUGCACAUGCAUCACCACGCACCCCAAUGGCGCUCGUGCCUUCGAGUCCCUCGGCAUUCGUGGGGGUGUUCGCAGCGUCGGGCUUGAUCAACGAGUUGACGGAGUCCUCCGGCGUGACGCACCUGCUGUAGAAGUUGGCGUUCAAGGACACAGGGCACCAGAGCCACUUGCAGAUCGUGCAGGAGGUGGAGGCCACGGGGCGUCCAGGUAGUAGUUGGUGCACAGCUACAACAUGCUCUCUAGGCAUACAUACCGCAGGCCGUGCGUUGAACAUUCUUCUUUGAUGAUAAGUAACAGACUUCUUCCUCCAAUGGCUGAAACAGGCUUUGUGAUUUACUCCUCUGAUUCUCUUUUGACAUGCUGAUUAAUUCCUCACAAUUUUCUAGAGUAAAUCCAUUCUUACAUAUAAAUUAGUACGCUUCAUCCUUGAUCUAUACAUAUGAUCUAUUUAUUCGGUUCUCAUUUGUUGUCAUAAUGUCUCAUAACCUUGUAGUUUCUUCAGACUGGUUCUUAACUGAUGUUGGCCCUGUUGAAGUUUUUUCUAUGGAAGCAUUGAUUCAGUUGUAGUGAUAUGUGUGUGGUGCUUGGUCACCGAAUCAACAUACUUGAAGAGAUAGCUUGCUCUUGUCUUUUACUUUUACUUUUACUUUUUUCUAGACAAUGCCUUUGAGAAAUAGGAAAUAUGAAUUCAUAUUAAAAAUGCAAGAAAAUAAUCAGAAGGUGAUUAAGGUUUAUUUUUAGCAAAACAUUUGUACCCAGGAAUAGUGUGUGCCGAGCGAAUUUUGACACUCUCUUUCUCCUAACAUGUUUCAGGGCCUCCAUUUUCUCGAGUAUGCCGCAGGCUAUGUCGUGCUCUCUUCGAUCACGCCUCCUACAUGCCCCUCAUGGUCGCACAUGCUGCUACCUUCCUUGACGGCCUCUUCGUCACCAGUGUGUGCCGCGGUGGCUGUCGUCUCCAUGCCACCCAUCAGUAGCGGUGGCAACUCGACUCUUGCCUUAUGCACCCAGACCCAUCUGCUUCUCUGAUUUGAUUUUGUGGGUUGCACUGAUCUCUCUUAGUACAUGUCUAUUUGCAGAGAAAUUAUUUAUAAUUCAGUCUUCAGGAAGACUGAUCCAGUACUGGAGGUACAUUUCUAAACAUUGUGCUUUUGUCAUCUGUUGGGCACUUCACUGAACAAAUUCUGAUCCUCUAGGUUUAUGAAUUGUGAAUUCUGAUUUAUUUUAAGCCGGACAUUCUGUCACUGUGUCAUGUAUUACAUACAUCUCUCUUGUUCUUCCCCAAAAACUAAUGUCCUUAUCUGCAUUUUUGGGCAACUUCACAUACCCUUCUGUGUCAUUUAUUACAUACAUAUAUACAUGGUUUUUUCAUCUAGCUAGAAGCUCAUUGGUCAAGCAUGCCACAAAAAAAAGUUAGGCGGUGCAAUGCAUUUCUAGGAAUUAACAGCCCCAUAACUUGUGACAAUAAACCGAUUGCGGCAUUGAAACUUGAUGUAAUUUACUGCUAGGAAAUCUUAUAAUUGGGCAGCACAAUAACAGAGAUGUGAGAGUUGCUAAUUCACUUCUAAUGAAUGUGCCAUGGGACCCCUAGCUUCAUUAUUCAUUGGGGGGUCUAACCGUCAAGCCGUAUGUCGGCGCCUUCGAUGCAGAGUUGAUUAUACUGUCUAUUCUACUGCAAGUAGGGAACGAUGGCUCUGGAUAUCGAUAUCCUUAGGUGUUAAUGUAGUGCUAGGCCAUAUAGUAUAUGACUGAGUUCUUUCACCUCCUAAUCCUGGGAGUAAUUCAAUUCAAUACUUAGGAAUUUUCUCUCUACAUAUAAUUGACUAACAUCAAGUAAGAGAACUGUUAGGUGCAUCCACACUCCUGCUUGAUCUAUGUCCGAGCUCCCUACUUUGCAUAGCUAAAUCUGUUGGUGACUUACCGGACUGAAUGGAAUCGCUAAGUUGAUGUUCCGUGGAAUUGCUAACCACCUCUCAAAGGUUUAAAGUUUGAUCUCUUUGUUAUUGAUCUCAGAGAGAAAUGGGUUCUGCAGCUCUGAUGUGAUAGUAUUUGUAACAAACAGUGACAAAAUCUAUACUGUGCACAGACAAUUACUUUGAUGGUUGGAAAAAAUAUAGUCGUUAGUGCCUCUCUUUAAAGUGUACAUGCUGUAAUAUAGCAAAAUUAGAGAAACAUCUUGAGUACCAUGCCCAUGCACAGUGUUACUUGCAUUUCAUAUCCCUUAGAUGAGAAUAAUCGAAUGUAUGCAUAUAUCUAUAUCUUUAGUAGUCAUUUGAUACUUUUUUCUCCAUGUGGAGAGUCCAAUUUGUGAUAUUCAUCAAUGGAACCAAAACAUCUUCACUUUUGCUUCCUAUUUCAAACUGAUAGUGCUUCAUUUAUGGCCUACAACAAUAUUUUGUUCCAAUAAAAACAUAACUACAUUUUUUUUACUGAGGGGGCAAUCUUAUAGUGAAAACAUAUAUUCUUAUAUGCAUUCGGCAUCAAUAUGUUUCUUAUGA
Long non-coding RNA from Triticum aestivum (bread wheat), 5101 nucleotides. RefSeq lists it as uncharacterized. NCBI's taxonomy places the organism in Eukaryota, Viridiplantae, Streptophyta, Magnoliopsida, Poales, Poaceae. The transcript is spliced from 5 exons. The record is from RefSeq and is a predicted model, not a curated record.